GUUGAGAUGGCUGAGUUGGUCUAAGACACUAAAUUAAAGUUUUGGUCCGAAAGGGCGUAGGUUCAAAUCCCACCCUCAACA
RNAcentral lists this transfer RNA (81 nucleotides) under Ipomoea nil (Japanese morning glory). It matches the Rfam family "tRNA". From Rfam's summary of the family: Transfer RNA (tRNA) molecules are approximately 80 nucleotides in length. Their secondary structure includes four short double-helical elements and three loops (D, anti-codon, and T loops). Lineage: Eukaryota; Viridiplantae; Streptophyta; Magnoliopsida; Solanales; Convolvulaceae. The record is from Rfam by way of RNAcentral.